GUUACGUGGAGAGCGCUGGGCUGGGCAUUGGGACAUCCUAUUCAGCCAAUCCACACAAAGGAAACAUACUUCCCCCUUGGCAGGCUGGGCCCGGAGCAUGCUAUAUGAUUGCCUGUGCCUUUAAUAAUGCUUCCCCGCUAAUGCUGGGAAAAUGAGCUGCCUAUUGUUAGCUGCUUUAAACCGAAGUUUCUUCUCGGCACUUAGUGGGAGGACAGAGCCCUUGAUCGUCCUGCAUUUGCUCUUGUAAUGGAAAACUGCUAUUGUGAUGUGGACUUUUCGGGGAGGGCCCACAAACUAUUACAAUGCAUCAUGUACCACACACAAUUCAUCUCUCCAUUCCCCAUCUGAUGAGCCCCUGCUUUGUUUCCAAUUCUUUGCUGAUGGACAGAAAAAAGUGCCAUUAUGAAUAUCUUGGGCUUAUCAAGAACCAGAGAAGCAACAUCUGAGCAAGUCAGAGGCUGAAAACAGCAGACAAACUGUGUAACUGAGAGAUUCCUGAAACUGGAGAUUUGUAAGGUUGGAAGAAUCUUGAUAUUUGCAUAUGCAAUUUGGAGAUUCCCAGAAUGUCCAAUUCAAAUGCAAAACUCACGUUCAUGAAUAAGUCAUGAGCAGUGACUUGGCUCCUUCUCUCCCCCCCAAUUAUCAUUUCUCCCCCUCCUUGAGUAAUCACCAGUCAGCCAGGCUCAUCAUUUGUUUCUGACAGAGGCAGGUAAAGGUGAGUUCCUCCAGAGUUGAACGUGCUAGUUUUCUUAGCUAAGCAUACUCUGUACUCACAUUCCAGCUGGAAAGAGGGAGUGAGCUCUACAGAUCCGGAGUGCUGGGGCUUGAUCCGAAUUUUCCAGGAUGAAAACGAAAUGCCAGCAGCCUUUUCUCCUGUCAGGAGAGGCUCUCAGGGCAAUGAUAGCUAA
Long non-coding RNA from Monodelphis domestica (gray short-tailed opossum), 908 nucleotides. RefSeq lists it as uncharacterized. The record is from RefSeq and is a predicted model, not a curated record. Lineage: Eukaryota; Metazoa; Chordata; Mammalia; Didelphimorphia; Didelphidae.